UGGGGUAUCUUGGACAAUGGGCGCAAGCCUGAUCCAGCCACGCCGCGUGAGUGAUGAAGGCCCUAGGGUUGUAAAGCCCUUUCACCGGUGAAGAUAAUGAUGGUAACAGGAGAAGAAGCCCCGGCUAACUUCGUGCCAGCAGCCGCGGUAAUACGAAGGGGGCUAGCGUUGUUCGGAUUUACUGGGCGUAAAGCGCACGUAGGCGGACUAUUAAGUCAGGGGUGAAAUCCCGGGGCUCAACCCCGGAACUGCCUUUGAUACUGGUAGUCUUGAGUUCGAGGGAGGUGAGUGGAAUUCCGAGUGUAGAGUUGAAAUUCGUAGAUAUUCGGAGGAACACCAGUGGCGAAGGCGGCUCACUGGAUCGAUACUGACGCUGAGGUGCGAAAGCGUGGGGAGCAAACAGG
RNAcentral lists this ribosomal RNA (404 nucleotides) under Actinomycetes bacterium. RNAcentral describes it as "Actinobacteria bacterium partial 16S ribosomal RNA". It matches the Rfam family "Bacterial small subunit ribosomal RNA", at positions 355 to 776 of the family's 1533-position model. Lineage: Bacteria; Bacillati; Actinomycetota; Actinomycetes. The record is from RNAcentral.